CACAUAUAAAAGACAGGCGCCGCGGCGGAACCCUCCUCUUUCCAGGCGUCCUCGUGAGAGUGACAUCGUCUUUAAACCCUCCGUGGCAAUCCCUGACGCACCGCCGUGAUGCCCAGGGAAGACAGGGCGACCUGGAAAUCCAACUACUUCCUAAAGAUCAUCCAACUUUUGGAUGAUUAUCCAAAAUGCUUCAUUGUGGGAGCAGACAAUGUGGGCUCCAAGCAGAUGCAGCAGAUCCGAAUGUCCCUCCGAGGGAAGGCCGUGGUGCUAAUGGGCAAGAAUACUAUGAUGCGCAAGGCCAUCCGAGGACAUCUGGAAAACAACCCGGCUCUGGAGAAGUCAACUGUUACCUCAUAUCCGGGGGAAUGUGGGCUUUGUGUUCACCAAGGAGGACCUCACUGAGAUCAGGGAUAUGCUGCUGGCCAAUAAGGUGCCUGCUGCUGCCCGUGCAGGUGCCAUUGCACCAUGUGAAGUCACCGUGCCUGCCCAGAACACUGGUCUGGGGCCUGAGAAGACCUCUUUCUUCCAGGCUCUGGGCAUCACCACUAAAAUCUC
Octodon degus (degu) is the source of this 555-nucleotide long non-coding RNA. RefSeq lists it as uncharacterized. The transcript is spliced from 4 exons. Lineage: Eukaryota; Metazoa; Chordata; Mammalia; Rodentia; Octodontidae. The record is from RefSeq and is a predicted model, not a curated record.